Molecule: ribosomal RNA, 253 nt
Filed under: uncultured bacterium
Lineage: Bacteria
Description: partial 16S ribosomal RNA
Rfam family: Bacterial small subunit ribosomal RNA
Source: RNAcentral
UACGAGGGGGGCAAUUGUUGUUCGGAAUCACUGGGCGUAAAGGGAGCGUAGGCGGGUUUUUAAGUCAGGUGUUUAAUCCCGGGGCCCAACCCCGGACAGGCACUUGAAACUGGGAAUCUUGAAUAGUGGAGAGGUCGGUGGAAUUGGGGGUGUAGCGGUGGAAUGCGUAGAGAUCCCCAAGAACACCCGUUGCGAAGGCGGCCGACUGGACACAUAUUGACGCUGAGGCUCGAAAGCAUGGGGAGCAAACAGG